CGGUCCAGACUCCUACGGGAGGCAGCAGUAGGGAAUCUUCCGCAAUGGGCGAAAGCCUGACGGAGCAACGCCGCGUGAGUGAUGAAGGUCUUCGGAUCGUAAAACUCUGUUAUUAGGGAAGAACAUAUGUGUAAGUAACUGUGCACAUCUUAGACGGUACCUAAUCAGAAAGCCACGGCUAACUACGUGCCAGCAGCCGCGGUAA
Molecule: ribosomal RNA, 205 nt
Filed under: Staphylococcus aureus
Lineage: Bacteria; Bacillati; Bacillota; Bacilli; Caryophanales; Staphylococcaceae
Description: partial 16S ribosomal RNA
Rfam family: Bacterial small subunit ribosomal RNA
Source: RNAcentral